UUUGAAGUAAGGAAAUAUUUAAUCUACUCUCUCACAAACCUUAGCCACUCACCACCAGAAAAACCUAAACUCUCGAAUUGUCAAUUUGUUCACGGGGCUUCGGUCAAAUCCCUUCGCCUUACAAAUUGGUCGCUGGUUCUCUCAGAGCUCAACAGAAGCUCUCAUUCGAUGGAAAAGGAAGACGAGAUGCAUCCCCAGUGCACAGAGCGGAGCUCAGGCGUGGCCGAUGGAGGACGAACGAACGUAAUAUUGCAGAUCCACUCAGUUUCCUCCUCUCAAAAUCCUAAACUCCUUUCCUAUUAUCGAGUUAUGGAGGGUUUAGCUUCCUUCAACUCCUUCUCUUCUUUCACUUGCCGACCCAAACGCCUCUCCAUCCCUGCCACCAGACCCACCUCCCUCUCUUCCCCCUUCCUCCUCCUCCAUUAGCAGGUCGCAAUGUCGGGCGAAUCAGAGCCGGUGAAAGAUGAGUUGAAAGUGGGAGGUGGGGAUGUUCCACAACGAAGUAGAUGCGGUGGAGGGUAUCAAAAUUAGCAUGAGGCCGCCCACUAGGCCGCCCAAGCAUUAUGUUGGCCCUUUCAGGUUUCGAUUUGAGGAUGAGGACGAUACUCCCAAGAAUAUCUUGGAGGAGAUCAUUUGAUACGAGGACCAAGAAGUCUUUAGGGUACAUAUAUAUAUAUAUAUAUAUAUAUCUCUCUACAACUUUGAUCCAAUAAUGAGUUGUUGAAUUAUGUUUGUUUCAGUGUUUUGGCAAAUGAAAAAUACUUUCAGGUGAUCAAUUUAGUUUCAUAAUUUGUUGAUAUGCCAAGAAAGCUGCAAUCGAUGAGCUUUACCUGACUUUCUUUUGGCUUAAUAUGGUAGAAAUAAGAAAAGCUGGAGUUUAGGUAUAAAAUACAUCUCUUGGUUUAGCUUCUACUUUUCUACUUCUUUGUUUAAGGCUUUCUUUUUCAAACUCAAAUACAAUCUGUGCCUGAAAUUAUAAGUAUAAAUCUCAAUUUUCCUCACUUUCGUUUUAGAUAUUAUGGUUAUGCUUAGUCUUUGAUUUCAGUGUCUUUGCUUUUGAGUUCCAAGCUAUGAUCUUUCUGAUUUGACUGUCUUCGAUUCACUGCUUAUUAAUCUCAUUCAUGUAAUGUGUAUAUUCUCUUGGGUAUUUUAGAUAGUCGGUUCAUUACGAGUUUAAUAUAGUGAUUUGAAGUUUCUGGGUUCA
Argentina anserina (silverweed cinquefoil) is the source of this 1204-nucleotide long non-coding RNA. RefSeq lists it as uncharacterized. The transcript has 2 exons. The record is from RefSeq and is a predicted model, not a curated record. NCBI's taxonomy places the organism in Eukaryota, Viridiplantae, Streptophyta, Magnoliopsida, Rosales, Rosaceae.